AGGGGUAUAGCUCAGUUGGUAGAGCGACGGUCUCCAAAACCGUAGGUCGAGGGUUCGAACCCUUCUGCCCCUGCCA
RNAcentral lists this transfer RNA (76 nucleotides) under Paracoccaceae bacterium. Its description in RNAcentral is "tRNA-Trp". It matches the Rfam family "tRNA". From Rfam's summary of the family: Transfer RNA (tRNA) molecules are approximately 80 nucleotides in length. The record is from RNAcentral. RNAcentral also lists the same sequence under 5 other names. Lineage: Bacteria; Pseudomonadati; Pseudomonadota; Alphaproteobacteria; Rhodobacterales; Paracoccaceae.